This 505-nucleotide long non-coding RNA is filed under the name Setaria viridis. Its description in RNAcentral is "long non-coding RNA (SVIR_LNC000919)". Lineage: Eukaryota; Viridiplantae; Streptophyta; Magnoliopsida; Poales; Poaceae. The record is from RNAcentral.
UGAGAGAAGCGGUCAGAUACACAUGGCCAUAAUAAGGGGAUGUACGGACCAUGUAAGCUGUAGUUGCUAUAUAUCCAGAGCACGACAAGUUGUUGAUGCAUCAUCAUACGCAGUGGUGUAGGGAAAAAUUGUUCUUGUGUUUCUAUAGACUUGGGAGAGAUCAGGAAUAUGUGUAUCACCGUGCUUGGUUCCCGGGCCACUGCCAUGGCGAUCGUCUCUGUGCACAGCGAGCCAUCAACAGCGCAUCGGAACUAGGUUGUCACGCUUUAGUGUUGGUGAGGGAAUCACUCUCAUUCUAGGUGCACCCACCAAAGUUGAUGGCACCGCAGAUCAUGUGAUAUGCUUAGAUAUUCCAAAAGAUUUUGUGCCACAAACGUAUAACGACAGAUACUGUUUUGCUUAUUAACUACGUGCUACCAUUGUUCAGGUCUUGUGCGAGCCAUGGAUGCAUGAUGUAGACAUCACUCUCUGUUGUCUCUCUCUUGCAUAGUGAUAACUACUCCCU